UACGUAGGGUGCGAGCGUUAAUCGGAUUUACUGGGCGUAAAGCGCGCGUAGGCGGCUUGAUAAGAUGGGUGUGAAAUCCCCGGGCUUAACCUGGGAACUGCAUCCAUAACUGUCUGGCUAGAGUACAGUAGAGGGUGGUGGAAUUUCCUGUGUAGCGGUGAAAUGCGUAGAUAUAGGAAGGAACACCAGUGGCGAAGGCGACCACCUGGACUGAUACUGACGCUGAGGUGCGAAAGCGUGGGGAGCAAACAGG
This 253-nucleotide ribosomal RNA is filed under the name uncultured microorganism. RNAcentral describes it as "partial 16S ribosomal RNA". It matches the Rfam family "Bacterial small subunit ribosomal RNA", at positions 524 to 776 of the family's 1533-position model. The record is from RNAcentral.